This 522-nucleotide ribosomal RNA is filed under the name uncultured bacterium. RNAcentral's name for it is "bacterial SSU rRNA". It matches the Rfam family "Bacterial small subunit ribosomal RNA", at positions 335 to 842 of the family's 1533-position model. The record is from RNAcentral.
ACUCCUACGGGAGGCAGCAGUGGGGGAAUAUUGGACAAUGGGCGAAAGCCUGAUCCAGCCAUGCCGUGUGUGAAGAAGGCCUCGGGUUGUAAGACACUUUAAGUCGGGGAGGGAAGGGGCGUUCUGGCUAAUAUCCAGGAGCAUUGACGUUACCCGCAGAAUAAGCACCGGCUAACUCUGUGCCAGCAGCCGCGGUAAUACAGAGGGUGCAAGCGUUAAUCGGAAUUACUGGGCGUAAAGCGCGCGUAGGCGGUUUGUUAAGUCGGAUGUGAAAUCCCCGGGCUCAACCUGGGCACUGCAUCCGAUACUGGCUGACUAGAGUGUGGGGAGAGGAAGGUAGAAUUCCAGGUGUAGCGGUGAAAUGCGUAGAGAUCUGGAGGAAUACCGAUGGCGAAGGCAGCCUUCUGGCCUGACACUGACGCUGAGGUGCGAAAGCAUGGGGGAGCGAAAACAGGGAUUAGAUACCCUGGUAGUCCAUGCCGUAAACGAUGUCAACUAGCCGUUGGGGACCUUGAGUCUUUA